AUGCCGCUGGAACUGCGCCUGGAACUUGCGCGGCCGCCUCCGCGAGUUCAACAGCUGGUGUUCGAUUUCACCCCACUGCGCACAGCCCCAGGGCAUGCUAGCUGAUAUCGCGGGAUAAAUCAAAAGUGCCAGGCACAAGAGGUUAAAAGGAUUUCCUCGCGCGCUCCCAACAUUUAGCGCACAAGUGGAAUAAACAGGUCUGCUGACUUGCAGUAUCCAUCCAUUAAGUGUUAAGAGAGGAAAACAGGAGCCACUCACUUAGACUUAUACAUCAGCUGAGCACAUGCAGAGCUGUGUACUGCUGAAACAACAUAAUCAGCGGCCUUAGGACACAGCAGCUGGCUGCAUCUCUCCCCAACAAAAGUUAUUAUUGUUUCUAGAAGAAAACAACAAAUCCUGGCAUGAGUAACCAGUUAAGUAUGAAGAUGGCUCCCAUAAUCUUUCCCCAACAUGGAGGCAAUCGAUUUUGACUAUUCUCCCCUGUGUAGCCCCCAAGCUGCUUUUGAUGCCCCUUGCCAAACCUCUACAACAAAUUUAAUGAGGGGCUUAGGAAGGGAGAGGAAGAAUCACCAAAAAUUGCUUCCUCCUUGUUCCACUGACGGAAACCUUAUAAUGAGCAGAGUGACACUGUUGGAUACAACUCUCUGACUCUUCCUUUCUAUAUGGUGAACACUGUGCUUCAUGGUUCAAAGUCAAACAUUUUAAAAACACUGGUCAAAUCUGAAACAAAACUUUCAAACAUACAUGCCAUUCUUAGAUGUGCUCUAACAACCCAGCCUCUCAAAGACUCCUGAAAAUAUUGCCUUUAAAACCAAGGUAAGUUCAGCAACUGAAUUCCACCGCAAGAGCCAAACAUUUUAACCUAAAUGUUACAGGUUUGUUCUAUACCGCAGAAAAUAUCCUACCUUUUAGGAGAUAAGCAAUUGCCACAACAGCCUUUAAUAUUAAGUGUAAGCAGCUUCAAGGAAGUGAUGUAGGGGGCGCAGCUGUUCCUUAUUACUGAAGUUUUUUAUUAGUUAUAAAUUUUGAGGACACUUUCGUAGUGCCUUGUUAGUUUAUAUUGUGUUGGAUGUUGUUUCUGCUUUAUGUGAAAUUGUACAAUUUAAAAUGCAAAUAAAGAAAAUCAAUUAAAGACUC
This is a long non-coding RNA of Podarcis raffonei (Aeolian wall lizard), 1137 nucleotides long. RefSeq lists it as uncharacterized. Lineage: Eukaryota; Metazoa; Chordata; Lepidosauria; Squamata; Lacertidae. The transcript has 2 exons. The record is from RefSeq and is a predicted model, not a curated record.